Molecule: ribosomal RNA, 442 nt
Filed under: uncultured soil bacterium
Lineage: Bacteria
Description: bacterial SSU rRNA
Rfam family: Bacterial small subunit ribosomal RNA
Source: RNAcentral
AGAACGAACGCUGGCGGCAUGCCUAACACAUGCAAGUCGAACGAGACCUUCGGGUCUAGUGGCGCACGGGUGCGUAACGCGUGGGAAUCUGCCCUUGGGUUCGGGAUAACAGUUGGAAACGACUGCUAAUACCGGAUGAUGACUUCGGUCCAAAGAUUUAUCGCCCAGGGAUGAGCCCGCGUAGGAUUAGCUAGUUGGUGAGGUAAAGGCUCACCAAGGCGACGAUCCUUAGCUGGUCUGAGAGGAUGAUCAGCCACACUGGGACUGAGACACGGCCCAGACUCCUACGGGAGGCAGCAGUGGGGAAUAUUGGACAAUGGGCGAAAGCCUGAUCCAGCAAUGCCGCGUGAGUGAUGAAGGCCUUAGGUUGUAAAGCUCUUUACCCGGGAUGAUAAUGACAGUACCGGAGAAUAAGCCCGGCUAACUCCGCGCCAGCAGCCGC